UACGUAGGGGGCGAGCGUUGUCCGGAUUCAUUGGGCGUAAAGAGCUCGUAGGCGGCUGUUCAAGUCGAUUGUGAAAACUCGGAGCUCAACUCCGAGCCUGCGUUCGAUACUGGACGGCUAGAGUCUGGUAGGGGGACCUGGAAUUCCUGGUGUAGCGGUGGAAUGCGCAGAUAUCAGGAGGAACACCGGUGGUGUAGACGGCUUUCUGGACCGUAACUGACGCUGAGACACGAAAGCGUGGGUAGCAAACAGG
RNAcentral lists this ribosomal RNA (253 nucleotides) under uncultured bacterium. RNAcentral's name for it is "partial 16S ribosomal RNA". It matches the Rfam family "Bacterial small subunit ribosomal RNA", at positions 524 to 776 of the family's 1533-position model. The record is from RNAcentral.